UACGAAGGGGGCUAGCGUUGCUCGGAAUCACUGGGCGUAAAGCGCACGUAGGCGGAUCUUUAAGUCAGGGGUGAAAUCCCAAGGCUCAACCUUGGAACUGCCUUUGAUACUGGGGAUCUCGAGUCCGGAAGAGGUGAGUGGAACUGCGAGUGUAGAGGUGAAAUUCGUAGAUAUGACGCAGAACACCCAUUGCGAAGGCAGCUCGCUACACCGGCAUUGACACUGAGGCACGAAAGCGUGGGGAUCAAACAGG
This 253-nucleotide ribosomal RNA is filed under the name uncultured bacterium. RNAcentral describes it as "partial 16S ribosomal RNA". It matches the Rfam family "Bacterial small subunit ribosomal RNA", at positions 524 to 776 of the family's 1533-position model. The record is from RNAcentral.